UCAGGCCUAACACAUGCAAGUCGAACGCAGUAGCAAUACUGAGUGGCAAACGGGUGAGUAUAAUGUGGGAAUCUGCCUUUUGGUUUGGAAUAACACGGGGAAACUUGUGCUAAUACCAAAUAAGCCUUUACAGGGAAAGUUUUAACGCCGAAAGAUGAGCCUGCACUUGAUUAGCUAGUUGGUAAGGUAAAAGCUUACCAAGGCAACGAUCAAUAGCUGUUCUUAGAGGAAGACCAGCCACAUUGGGACUGAGACACGGCCCAGACUCCUACGGGAGGCAGCAGUGGGGAAUCUUGCACAAUGGGGGAAACCCUGAUGCAGCGAUGCCGCGUGAGUGAAGAAGGCCCUUGGGUUGUAAAACUCUUUCGUCGGGGAAGAAAAUGACUGUACCCGAAUAAGAAGGUCCGGCUAACUUCGUGCCAGCAGCCGCGGUAAUACGAAGGGACCUAGCGUAGUUCGGAAUUACUGGGCUUAAAGAGCUCGUAGGUGGUUAAAAAAGUUGAUGGUGAAAUCCCAAGGCUCAACCUUGGAACUGCCAUCAAAACUUUUUAGCUAGAGUGUGAUAGAGGUAAGUGGAAUUUCUAGUGUAGAGGUGAAAUUCGUAGAUAUUAGAAAGAACACCAAAUGCGGAGGCAACUUACUGGGUCACUACUGACACUGAGGAGCGAAAGCAUGGGUAGCGAAGAGGAUUAGAUACCCU
RNAcentral lists this ribosomal RNA (700 nucleotides) under uncultured bacterium. RNAcentral's name for it is "bacterial SSU rRNA". It matches the Rfam family "Bacterial small subunit ribosomal RNA", at positions 42 to 788 of the family's 1533-position model. The record is from RNAcentral.